RNAcentral lists this ribosomal RNA (331 nucleotides) under uncultured bacterium. Its description in RNAcentral is "partial 16S ribosomal RNA". It matches the Rfam family "Bacterial small subunit ribosomal RNA", at positions 338 to 668 of the family's 1533-position model. The record is from RNAcentral.
CCUACGGGUGGCAGCAGUGGGGAAUAUUGCACAAUGGGGGAAACCCUGAUGCAGCGACGCCGCGUGAGUGAAGAAGUAAUUCGUUACGUAAAGCUCUAUCAGCAGGGAAGAAAUACUGACCUUACGGUCAGCAGACGGUACCUGAGUAAGAAGCCCCGGCUAACUACGUGCCAGCAGCCGCGGUAAUACGUAGGGGGCAAGCUUUAUCCGGAUUUACUGGGGGUAAAGGGAGCGUAGACGGUGCGCCAAGUCUGGAGUGAAAUGCCGCGGCUUAACUGCUGAACUGCUUUGGAACCUGGCGAACUAGAGUGCGGGAGAGGUAAGCGGAAUG